CCAGAGAACUUAGCAGAGAUGCUUUGGUGCCUUGGGAACUCNGAGACAGGUGCUGCAUGGCUGUCGUCAGCUCGUGUUGUGAAAUGUUGGGUUAAGUCCCGCAACGAGCGCAACCCUUAUCCUUUGUUGCCAGCGGCUCGGCCGGGAACUCAAAGGAGACUGCCGGUGAUAAACCGGAGGAAGGUGGGGAUGACGUCAAGUCAUCAUGGCCCUUACGGCCAGGGCUACACACGUGCUACAAUGGCGCAUACAAAGAGAAGCGACCUCGCGAGAGCAAGCGGACCUCAUAAAGUGCGUCGUAGUCCGGAUUGGAGUCUGCAACUCGACUCCAUGAAGUCGGAAUCGCUAGUAAUCGUAGAUCAGAAUGCUACGGUGAAUACGUUCCCGGGCCUUGUACACACCGCCCGUCACACCAUGGGAGUGGGUUGCAAAAGAAGUAGGUAGCUUAACCUUCGGGAGGGCGCUUACCACUUUGUGAUUCAUGACUGGGGUGAAGUCGUAACAAGGUAGGCGUAGCGAG
This 520-nucleotide ribosomal RNA is filed under the name uncultured bacterium. RNAcentral describes it as "bacterial SSU rRNA". It matches the Rfam family "Bacterial small subunit ribosomal RNA", at positions 988 to 1509 of the family's 1533-position model. The record is from RNAcentral.